RNAcentral lists this long non-coding RNA (312 nucleotides) under Salvia miltiorrhiza (redroot sage). Its description in RNAcentral is "long non-coding RNA (SMIL_LNC004115)". The record is from RNAcentral. Lineage: Eukaryota; Viridiplantae; Streptophyta; Magnoliopsida; Lamiales; Lamiaceae.
GUUCACCCCUCUAGUAUUUGUAUUCUCUGCUUUGUCAGAACAAUCCUGAAAAAACUUGAUCUAAACUUUUUAUUGCUUUUAAUUUGAGACAUUGGAAAAGAAGUUGUAUUUGCAAGACCUUAUGCCUUGAUCUGAUUGUCUGCCUUGUUUUUCUUCUUUACUGCUGGAUACUGAAUUGGUCUAGAAUUUUCUUUCCUUCCACCCCCACUCCCACCCCCUUUUUGUCUGGAAAGCUUGUUUAAACUCUAGCUUCUUCUUUCUUUUUUGUCUUGCAAAAUAGAAGUAUUAGGCCUUUUAAGUACUUGAAAAUUC